This 494-nucleotide ribosomal RNA is filed under the name uncultured bacterium. RNAcentral describes it as "bacterial SSU rRNA". It matches the Rfam family "Bacterial small subunit ribosomal RNA", at positions 30 to 507 of the family's 1533-position model. The record is from RNAcentral.
AUUGAACGCUGGCGGCAUUGCUUUACACAUGCAAGUCGAACGGGUAACAGGGAAAAGCUUUGCUUUUCUGCUGACGAGUGGCGAACGGGUGAGUAAUACAUCGGAACGUGCCCUGUAGUGGGGGAUAACUACUCGAAAGAGUGGCUAAUACCGCAUACAACCUGAGGGUAAAAGUGGGGGACCGCAAGGCCUCACGCUAUAGGAGCGGCCGAUGGAAGAUUAGGUAGUUGGUAGGGUAAAGGCCUACCAAGCCGACGAUCUUUUAGCGGGUCUGAGAGGACGAUCCGCCACACUGGGACUGAGACACGGCCCAGACUCCUACGGGAGGCAGCAGUGGGGAAUUUUGGACAAUGGGGGCAACCCUGAUCCAGCAAUGCCGCGUGAGUGAAGAAGGCCUUCGGGUUGUAAAGCUCUUUUGUUUGGGAAGAAAUCCCUAAGGAUAAUACCCUUGGGGGAUGACGGUACCAAAAGAAUAAGCACCGGCUAACUACGUG